RNAcentral lists this ribosomal RNA (468 nucleotides) under uncultured bacterium. RNAcentral's name for it is "partial 16S ribosomal RNA". It matches the Rfam family "Bacterial small subunit ribosomal RNA", at positions 28 to 507 of the family's 1533-position model. The record is from RNAcentral.
GACGAACGCUGGCGGCGUGCUUAACACAUGCAAGUCGAACGGAAAGGCCCUGCUUUUGUGGGGUGCUCGAGUGGCGAACGGGUGAGUAACACGUGAGUAACCUGCCCUUGACUUUGGGAUAACUUCAGGAAACUGGGGCUAAUACCGGAUAGGAGCUCCUGCUGCAUGGUGGGGGUUGGAAAGUUUCGGCGGUUGGGGAUGGACUCGCGGCUUAUCAGCUUGUUGGUGGGGUAGUGGCUUACCAAGGCUUUGACGGGUAGCCGGCGUGAGAGGGUGACCGGGCACAUUGGGACUGCGAUACGGCCCAGACUCCUACGGGAGGCAGCAGUGGGGAAUAUUGCACAAUGGGCGGAAGCCUGAUGCAGCAACGCCGCGUGCGGGAUGACGGCCUUCGGGUUGUAAACCGCUUUCGCCUGUGACGAAGCGUGAGUGACGGUAAUGGGUAAAGAAGCACCGGCUAACUACGUG